RNAcentral lists this transfer RNA (75 nucleotides) under Massilimicrobiota sp. An142. RNAcentral's name for it is "tRNA-Gln". It matches the Rfam family "tRNA". Rfam says of the family: Transfer RNA (tRNA) molecules are approximately 80 nucleotides in length. Their secondary structure includes four short double-helical elements and three loops (D, anti-codon, and T loops). The record is from RNAcentral. Lineage: Bacteria; Bacillati; Bacillota; Erysipelotrichia; Erysipelotrichales; Erysipelotrichaceae.
AUCGGGAUAGCAUAAUGGUAAUGCGCAUGGCUCUGAACCAUGUCAGUGGAGGUUCGAAUCCUUCUCCCGAUGCCA